Molecule: ribosomal RNA, 93 nt
Filed under: uncultured bacterium
Lineage: Bacteria
Description: partial 16S ribosomal RNA
Rfam family: Bacterial small subunit ribosomal RNA
Source: RNAcentral
CCGCCCGUCACACCAUGGGAGUUUGUUGCACCAGAAGCAGGUAGCUUAACCUUCGGGAGGGCGCUUGCCACGGUGUGGCCGAUGACUGGGGUG